This 475-nucleotide ribosomal RNA is filed under the name Escherichia coli. Its description in RNAcentral is "partial 23S ribosomal RNA". It matches the Rfam family "Bacterial large subunit ribosomal RNA", at positions 2468 to 2925 of the family's 2925-position model. Lineage: Bacteria; Pseudomonadati; Pseudomonadota; Gammaproteobacteria; Enterobacterales; Enterobacteriaceae. The record is from RNAcentral.
CCGGGGAUAACAGGCUGAUACCGCCCAAGAGUUCAUAUCGACGGCGGUGUUUGGCACCUCGAUGUCGGCUCAUCACAUCCUGGGGCUGAAGUAGGUCCCAAGGGUAUGGCUGUUCGCCAUUUAAAGUGGUACGCGAGCUGGGUUUAGAACGUCGUGAGACAGUUCGGUCCCUAUCUGCCGUGGGCGCUGGAGAACUGAGGGGGGCUGCUCCUAGUACGAGAGGACCGGAGUGGACGCAUCACUGGUGUUCGGGUUGUCAUGCCAAUGGCACUGCCCGGUAGCUAAAUGCGGAAGAGAUAAGUGCUGAAAGCAUCUAAGCACGAAACUUGCCCCGAGAUGAGUUCUCCCUGACUCCUUGAGAGUCCUGAAGGAACGUUGAAGACGACGACGUUGAUAGGCCGGGUGUGUAAGCGCAGCGAUGCGUUGAGCUAACCGGUACUAAUGAACCGUGAGGCUUAACCUUACAACGCCGAAG